RNAcentral lists this ribosomal RNA (463 nucleotides) under Vreelandella stevensii. RNAcentral's name for it is "partial 16S ribosomal RNA". It matches the Rfam family "Bacterial small subunit ribosomal RNA", at positions 338 to 795 of the family's 1533-position model. The record is from RNAcentral. Lineage: Bacteria; Pseudomonadati; Pseudomonadota; Gammaproteobacteria; Oceanospirillales; Halomonadaceae.
CCCGGGGGGCUGCAGUGGGGAAUAUUGGACAAUGGGGGGAACCCUGAUCCAGCCAUGCCGCGUGUGUGAAGAAGGCCCUCGGGUUGUAAAGCACUUUCAGUGAGGAAGAACGCCUGGUGGUUAAUACCCAUCAGGAAAGACAUCACUCACAGAAGAAGCACCGGCUAACUCCGUGCCAGCAGCCGCGGUAAUACGGAGGGUGCGAGCGUUAAUCGGAAUUACUGGGCGUAAAGCGCGCGUAGGUGGCUUGAUAAGCCGGUUGUGAAAGCCCCGGGCUCAACCUGGGAACGGCAUCCGGAACUGUCAAGCUAGAGUGCAGGAGAGGAAGGUAGAAUUCCCGGUGUAGCGGUGAAAUGCGUAGAGAUCGGGAGGAAUACCAGUGGCGAAGGCGGCCUUCUGGACUGACACUGACACUGAGGUGCGAAAGCGUGGGUAGCAAACAGGAUUAGAUACCCCAGUAGUC